Molecule: ribosomal RNA, 274 nt
Filed under: uncultured bacterium
Lineage: Bacteria
Description: partial 16S ribosomal RNA
Rfam family: Bacterial small subunit ribosomal RNA
Source: RNAcentral
AAACGUAGGGGCCAAGCGUUAUCCGGAUUUAUUGGGCGUAAAGCGCAUGCAGGCGGCUUUUUAAGUCAGACGUGAAAGCUCCCGGCUCAACUGGGAGAGGUCGUUUGAAACUGGAAGGCUUGAGGAUGGUAGAGGUGAGUGGAAUUCCCGGUGUAGUGGUGAAAUGCGUAGAUAUCGGGAGGAACACCAGUGGCGAAGGCGGCUCACUGGGCCAUUUCUGACGCUCAGAUGCGAAAGCUAGGGGAGAGAACGGGAUUAGAAACCCCGGUAGUCC